GUGUCAGCCGCCGCGGUAAAACGUAGGAGGCGAGCGUUAUCCGGAUUUACUGGGCGUAAAGCGCGUGUAGGCGGUUUGGAAAGUUGGAUGUGAAAGCUCCUGGCUUAACUAGGAGAGGUCGUUCAAAACUAUCAGACUAGAGUAUGGGAGAGGGAGGCGGAAUUCCGGGUGUAGUGGUCAAAUGCGUAGAUAUCCGGAGGAACACCAGUGGCGAAAGCGGCCUCCUGGCCCAAAACUG
This 238-nucleotide ribosomal RNA is filed under the name uncultured bacterium. RNAcentral's name for it is "partial 16S rRNA". It matches the Rfam family "Bacterial small subunit ribosomal RNA", at positions 505 to 742 of the family's 1533-position model. The record is from RNAcentral.